This 1443-nucleotide ribosomal RNA is filed under the name Lacticaseibacillus rhamnosus. RNAcentral describes it as "bacterial SSU rRNA". It matches the Rfam family "Bacterial small subunit ribosomal RNA". Lineage: Bacteria; Bacillati; Bacillota; Bacilli; Lactobacillales; Lactobacillaceae. The record is from RNAcentral.
CUAAGACGUGGCCCGGGUCGAACGAGUUCUGAUUAUUGAAAGGUGCUUGCAUCUUGAUUUGAUUUUGAACGAGUGGCGGACGGGUGAGUAACACGUGGGUAACCUGCCCUUAAGUGGGGGAUAACAUUUGGAAACAGAUGCUAAUACCGCAUAAAUCCAAGAACCGCAUGGUUCUUGGCUGAAAGAUGGCGUAAGCUAUCGCUUUUGGAUGGACCCGCGGCGUAUUAGCUAGUUGGUGAGGUAACGGCUCACCAAGGCAAUGAUACGUAGCCGAACUGAGAGGUUGAUCGGCCACAUUGGGACUGAGACACGGCCCAAACUCCUACGGGAGGCAGCAGUAGGGAAUCUUCCACAAUGGACGCAAGUCUGAUGGAGCAACGCCGCGUGAGUGAAGAAGGCUUUCGGGUCGUAAAACUCUGUUGUUGGAGAAGAAUGGUCGGCAGAAUAACUGUUGUCGGCGUGACGGUAUCCAACCAGAAAGCCACGGCUAACUACGUGCCAGCAGCCGCGGUAAUACGUAGGUGGCAAGCGUUAUCCGGAUUUAUUGGGCGUAAAGCGAGCGCAGGCGGUUUUUUAAGUCUGAUGUGAAAGCCCUCGGCUUAACCGAGGAAGUGCAUCGGAAACUGGGAAACUUGAGUGCAGAAGAGGACAGUGGAACUCCAUGUGUAGCGGUGAAAUGCGUAGAUAUAUGGAAGAACACCAGUGGCGAAGGCGGCUGUCUGGUCUGUAACUGACGCUGAGGCUCGAAAGCAUGGGUAGCGAACAGGAUUAGAUACCCUGGUAGUCCAUGCCGUAAACGAUGAAUGCUAGGUGUUGGAGGGUUUCCGCCCUUCAGUGCCGCAGCUAACGCAUUAAGCAUUCCGCCUGGGGAGUACGACCGCAAGGUUGAAACUCAAAGGAAUUGACGGGGGCCCGCACAAGCGGUGGAGCAUGUGGUUUAAUUCGAAGCAACGCGAAGAACCUUACCAGGUCUUGACAUCUUUUGAUCACCUGAGAGAUCAGGUUUCCCCUUCGGGGGCAAAAUGACAGGUGGUGUAUGGUUGUCGUCAGCUCGUGUCGUGAGAUGUUGGGUUAAGUCCCGCAACGAGCGCAACCCUUAUGACUAGUUGCCAGCAUUUAGUUGGGCACUCUAGUAAGACUGCCGGUGACAAACCGGAGGAAGGUGGGGAUGACGUCAAAUCAUCAUGCCCCUUAUGACCUGGGCUACACACGUGCUACAAUGGAUGGUACAACGAGUUGCGAGACCGCGAGGUCAAGCUAAUCUCUUAAAGCCAUUCUCAGUUCGGACUGUAGGCUGCAACUCGCCUACACGAAGUCGGAAUCGCUAGUAAUCGCGGAUCAGCACGCCGCGGUGAAUACGUUCCCGGGCCUUGUACACACCGCCCGUCACACCAUGAGAGUUUGUAACACCCGAAGCCGGUGGCGUAACCCUUUUAGGGAGCG